AACGAACGCUGGCGGCAUGCCUAACACAUGCAAGUCGAACGAAACCUCCGGGUCUUUUGUCGCACGGGUGCGUAACGCGUGGGAACCUGCCCUCAGGUUCGGAAUAACUAUCCGAAAGGGAUGCCAAUACCGGAUCAUGUCUUCGGACCAAAGAUUUAUCGCCUUUGGUUGUGCCCGCGUUGGAUUAGCUAGUUGGUAGGGUAAAAGCCUACCAAGGCGCCGAUCCAUAACUGGUCAGAGAGGAAGAUCAGCCACACUUGGACUGAGACACGGCCCAGAAUCCUCCGGAAGGGAGCAAUGGGGAAUGGUGGACCGUGGGCGGAAUCAUGAUGCAGCAAUGACGCGUGAGUGAUGAAGGCCUGAGGGUUGUAAAGCUCUUUUAACCAUGCUGAUAAUGACAGUACCGGGAGAAUAAGCUCCGGCUAACUCCGUG
RNAcentral lists this ribosomal RNA (433 nucleotides) under uncultured bacterium. Its description in RNAcentral is "partial 16S ribosomal RNA". It matches the Rfam family "Bacterial small subunit ribosomal RNA", at positions 29 to 507 of the family's 1533-position model. The record is from RNAcentral.